UUGUACAGGUUCUGCCUAUAGACAUGAGUUUGACUCGGAAGGAAAUGAGCUCCGGUCAAGAACGCUACGGGAGAAUGGUUAUAGAGACUACCACGCCAUUAGGAGGUGUUACUGUUUUGAUGAAAAGAAUACUGUCAGAGGCAGAAAGUCUAAUCUUUUUGAGCCCCAAGUGUGUGUUCAUUAAUUUAUUCAACUAAUAAUCUUCCAGAGUUUACUAUGUGGCAGGCUCCAUUCUAGGCAAUGGAGAAUGAGGUGCACAACACACCUCACCCCCUGGAGUAAACAGCUACUCUUCGCUGAACGCUCACACGCCUCCUCUCUCUCCUUUAAUUAGGAUUCAAAGCCAUGAUCUGAGGUCCUGCGUUGCCAUUUCCUAAGACUUAACAACUUCCCUGAGUCUCGGUACCCUCAUCCGCAACACAAAGAAUAAUCGCCAGACAGGGCCGUGGGGGAGGAAUAAAUGAGAUGCUUUGGAAAGAAUUUUGAAAAUGGCGGUUGGAGGCUGAGCAAGAAUCAACUUUCUGUGGGCAGGGCCUUUCCUCGGCAUCCUCGUCUUCAUUCAUCCAACCCCCAUUUCAGAUGAUGGCUGUGUACCAGAUGAGCCAGGUGUUGGGCGCUCAGUCACACAGAGAAUCAGACCAGCAAUUACCCUCGGAGAACCGGCAAUGCACUGCGGAGGGGAAGGCUGGACCUCAGGGAAGCUCCUAGAAGGCGGGAGGGACGUGAUGGCGUCACGCCACAGGGAUUUCGCCUCCUGCGGAUGGUAACCGCCUCGUCGCCCUCCCGCCCCAAUCUGGACUCCGACGGUGCCGGCAGGAAACGGGAGGUGGGAUGGCAGCCGAUGUUUCCAGACCCGCCUUGAGUCCCAUCACCACUCCCAAGCAGAGGCUGUUACCUGAGAGGAAAGCCGGCCGCUGCCCAGGGGCCAAACCUCCUCGCCCCAGGAUAUUCCACCUACUCCAGCCAGGCCCAAGGCCCAGGCCGGUCCUCACUUCCGCUUCCUCACUUCCUGCCCUGGUGCAGUUCCUCUCAGGGCCUCAAGCAAGGUGGUCGCAAAAACCGGAGCUAAAGGGUACCAAGGGGAAUGAAGGGAUUAAUGCUAGGAACAUUCUGGUGAGCCAACAUUUCCCUCCUCAUCUUGGAUCCAGUUCCCAAACUCUGAAUGGCACCACUUAGCAAGUAGCAAUGUCUCUAAUUUUCUGUAAAAGAUGCAACGUUGGCAAUCCAUUUUCUAGCAAGAGCAAAGAGAAAGGAAGAGGCCUUCACAAGUUGCAUUUGAUAUAGGGGGAAGGGUGAGUGGUACAUUUAAAGGUAAGAACUAAGGAAGUUGAAGGUAACAAAAUAUAAGGUCAAUGGAAAGUCUUAAAUCCCGAAAAGCCUUCAGUCCAAGACUCAACACAAAUUGAAGUCCCAGAAAUCGAAGGAACUGGUUCCAACUCAUGCUGAACUGUGGCAAACCUGGGGUGAGAAGUCAUCCCAGCUCAGAAUGUUUCUUCUUUUUUUGUCAAGAGUAAUAUUACAGACUGAGCGCAUGAACAAAGCAUCUUCCCUGGGAUUUUAACAUUGUGAGUGAUCAAGGGUGCUCUUAAAUAAGUUCCCCCAAGAAGCCCUAAUGUUCCUUGGGCUGCAUGACUGUACUAAGAGAAUAAGAGUUUUCCUUAAGAUCGACUUGCUGAUGGACCAUAUCUAGGACUAGAAAUUUUCUUAUGUGAACAUAAGUGUUCAGGAGGGAUAUUGUUAAAACUGAAACCUAGCAUAAAGAAGCAAAAGUAUUUCAGUGAACCUC
This 1786-nucleotide long non-coding RNA is filed under the name Macaca fascicularis (crab-eating macaque). RNAcentral describes it as "lncRNA (ENSMFAG00000048995.1)". The record is from RNAcentral. Lineage: Eukaryota; Metazoa; Chordata; Mammalia; Primates; Cercopithecidae.